GACUCUCGGCAACGGAUAUCUAGGCCCUUGCAUCGAUGAAGAACGUAGCGAAAUGCGAUACUUGGUGUGAAUUGCAGAAUCCCGUGAACCAUCGAGUCUUUGAACGCAAGUUGCGCCCGAGGUCUCUGGGCCGAGGGCAUGCCUGCCUGGG
Molecule: ribosomal RNA, 151 nt
Filed under: Maundia triglochinoides
Lineage: Eukaryota; Viridiplantae; Streptophyta; Magnoliopsida; Alismatales; Maundiaceae
Description: 5.8S ribosomal RNA
Rfam family: 5.8S ribosomal RNA
About the family: 5.8S ribosomal RNA (5.8S rRNA) is a component of the large subunit of the eukaryotic ribosome. It is transcribed by RNA polymerase I as part of the 45S precursor that also contains 18S and 28S rRNA. Functionally, it is thought that 5.8S rRNA may be involved in ribosome translocation.
Source: RNAcentral